UCCUGUUAAUACUUUAUUAGUGUAAUUUUUUAGCUUUCUAUUGGACAGAACAUAAAUGCAAACUCCAAAAAAAAUUCAGAGUCCUCUGCCAUUCAGUAGAAGUGACCAUGGCAGCCUGGUUCGUGUUCAUUCUUUGUUACAGAAACGAGAGGAAGGGGAAGGGAGGGAAAAAGCAUCAAUAGAACAAUUAGGCACACAGCUGACACUUACUGUACAAUGAUAUGCACAAGUAAUUCAUAACAGCUAUAUUCAUGAGAUGUGCUCUUCAGAUUUCUCCCUUGUAAUAUAUGAACUUUGCUCAGACGAGCAAGGAUCAUUGAGAACAAGGGCAAAAUUAACAAAGGAGUAACAAAUAAGACUUUUAAAACAAGUCCUUAAAUAAACUAACGCAACAACAGAAUGCAAAAUUGUUCAGCUGAGAAGAUAUUUUUAACCUAGACUUCAAAACAUUAAAAAUUCAUUUAUUUUACAGUUAUUCAAAUACACAUGCAUUAAAUGAAAAUAUUGCACAAAAUUAAAAUUUAGAUUGUGGAAUUCAUAUAUUUUUAUUUUGGUACACAUUCUGGUAGCACUUAAAAUUUACUGUUUAGUUCUAGCAAACACCAGCAGCACAAGCUUGAGGAUGAACCAAAUGAAAAAUUCAAUUACUCGUUUCCUCUUAAAAAUAAUUAAGGCUAAAACAAGUGCAUUUGUUGACAAUGGCACAAUUCUGUGCAGCCAGUCACAGCACUCAAAGGCCAGAAGAUACACGCACGCACUUAAGUGCUGUAUAUCAACAUUCAGUUUUGGAAACUUUCUAGGAUAACAGGCUGCUUGGGUUGACAGAGUAGGUAUUUUAAGCUGUCAACAGGAAAACCAUUUAAAUAGAGAUACACACAAAUUCUUUUUAAUAAAAAGGAUUCAUUUCUGAUUAUUCUUGUCAGCCAACAGGCACCAUUGAAUUAGGAAGCCACACUCUGUAAUUAAAUACAGAAGACAAAACUUCAAUACAUAUAUACAUAUGCACACAUAGGUAUACAAGUGUGUGUAUAAGUAUAUAUAUGUAAUAAAUUCAUUAAGUAAAACUAAUAAACAUGGCGUAUUAUGUUCAGUUCACAUUCCUAGAGAUAUUAUUUUAUUUUUGUACAGAAAUGUACCAGAUACUUUAAAAAAAAAAGGAAAAAAAAAAGAAAUCCCAAAUUUGCACAUUAUCACGAUUCUCUUGAAAUUUUUCAUGGUACCUACAGAUAGAUAAAAGGUUCCACAGAUUUGACAAAACAGUAUUUGAACUUCCCGCUUUCAUACUGCUAACAAAUUCAGUGAUUUAAAAGCCAUAAAUUAGAUUUGAUAGGCUCAAGGAUAUAUUUGCUAUAUCGCCAUCAGUCAGAUACCAGGAAUGCUUGAGCACCCUGACAUCAGAGGAAAAUACAGGCUUGUAAACAACAGGAGCUGGCUACGCUGAUUACUUAACAUAGAACUCAAUAAUCUUGUUAAAUUCAACACACUUCUACAGAACCUGCAGAGAGGAAGGGGGAAGGGUUCUUACAUAUUUAACCAACUUGUCUUCCUAGGGACUAUAAAAGAAAGGGAUUUCAUUUAUAGUAUUUAGUUCUGCAAUAAAGAAAAAAAAAAACAAAACCCAAG
Strigops habroptila (Kakapo) is the source of this 1623-nucleotide long non-coding RNA. The record is from Ensembl. Lineage: Eukaryota; Metazoa; Chordata; Aves; Psittaciformes; Psittacidae.